Molecule: long non-coding RNA, 538 nt
Filed under: Sparus aurata (gilthead seabream)
Lineage: Eukaryota; Metazoa; Chordata; Actinopteri; Spariformes; Sparidae
Description: lncRNA (ENSSAUG00010008579.1)
Source: RNAcentral
AUGACAGUGUUUUAUUCCCGGCAAGGGACUUCACCACAGAGCCGUCAUCAUGGCCUGUACAAUCAGGGAGCCACAUGUUACCUCAACAGUGUCCUGCAGGUUCUCUUCACGACGACUGAGUUACAUGACAGGUUGGAUUCACAAUCACAAACAGAUCUUCAGCUGAGAAAAAUCUUUGAAGGCCUGAAGGAAACAACAUGCGGAACAGAAAACAUCAUGGCAACAUUUGGGAUUAAACAUGUUUAUGAACAACGUGAUGCAGCUGAAUGUCUGAAGAGGAUUUUACAUCAGAUCAGUCCACAGGCCUCUGAGGUGAGCACUUAUUAAAUCUGCAAAGUUUUUUACAGGGGAACAAAUCAGAAUCCUGUGUUGAAAAGUUACAUUUCUAGGUUUUCCGAGGACAGAUGACAAUCACAAAAAAAUGUUCCAAAGUCCACGUCAUCAAUGUAAAGACAGUAUCAUUCCGGACUCUCCCUCUGUCACCGAAAGAUACUCCUGAUACAACCUUUAAAGUGGUGAGCAGACAAAGUUCUUGUUC